CCGACACAGGUGGAGGGAGAAGAGCAGAGUGACACAGGCCACCAGCAGAGCUCUGGGAGUCGCAGGAUCAAACCCUUGCAGAGUCGCAUCCAUGAUGGAGAUCCUGCGGAGGAAAUUACAUGUGCAGAUCUGGGUUCUGCUCAGGUCUGGUUUGACGGGUGUCUGGACCCUGUUCAGCACCACGGAGAGCGGCUUUCCUCUGGCCUCCUCCAGACCUGUCACCCUCCGGCUCUGCCACAGACUGCAGACACGUUUUUAUUGUCGUGAUUUCAGCUUCUUUUUUUAAAAAACAAACAAACAACAACAACACGCAUUUAAAGACAAUAGACUUUAUUAAAUAAAUACGUUAGAUAAAAUCCAGCCAGUUGAUUGCUCCCAAAAAUAUUGAUAAGUGAAUAUCUUUUAGUAAAAUUUAGGACUUAUGCAGAGCAGAAAAUAUCUGAAUUUCAGUGUUAUAACGAGAAUUGCAGAUCAUUAAAGAACUUUUAUAUUUUGGCUGUAUAAUUAUGAAAAAAAGUCACGUUUUUGUGAAGCAAAAUUCUCAGUUUUCUGUGUUUAAUCAUGCUUUUAAGAGCUCUCCUGUGGCCUAAAACAGUAUUAACUAGCAGCAACAACAAAAAAUAAUUACUAUAAAUGACUAAUUUCAGCGUUAUAAAUAUGUCCAAAUUAAAUUACUUAAUUAUUAUUGUUUUUACUCAGCUGUACAUUCUAAAACCAAGUAUAUUUAGGUGAAGUGAAUUGAAAGCAGAUGUACUUACUGAGUCUGCAGGCCUCUCCUGGUCUCAUGAACGUCUGCCAUGGUGGCACUGUGGGAUCUUCCUUUAUUCAAAAUGUGAACGAUCUGUGAGGGUGGAGACAAACUGGUGGCCUGGCCUCAUUUACUGCCACUUAUUAGAAUAAAGCCCAGCAGCUCCCCUGCCUUUUACUCCAUAAGGUAUUUCAGUGAAAUGCUCUAAUCCUCUUAUCUGACAAGCAGUACUUAUUGACACUGUAUGAUAAAGAUUUAAUUAUAUUGAAUUUAAAUUAACAUGUAAUGGUUGCAAUAUUUUAUUAUAUUCCUAUUUAAAGUAAAUGUUGAAGUAGCCGCAACAUUUUCACGUUUUCAUUAGAUGUCUCACAUACACACACACACAGUCUGUUGUGUGUGUGAGGUCAGUGGUUGAAACUGGUGAUCCUGAACAUCCUCGUGGUCACAAGACUGACUUUUGUUGCUCAGUGGGUCUUUGGUUCAACAAUGGCCACAUGCUCCUUGUGGAAUAGUGAUCAAAAUGGGAACUGAAUUUAAAAAAAAAAAAAAAAAAAGAUCAUUUAUUUUAGACAGGCACUUCAAACAUUAACCUUUAAAAUUGCUGUGUCUUCAUGAUAUCCUUUGUUCUGAAUUGAGAAGUAAUAGAUUUGGUCUUUUUCAUUCAAGACAUCCAUCCCAAUGCAGCUGAAGUAUUCUUUUUUGUUGAAAUGAAUUACCCCAUGACAUCACUUGUUUAGUGGGAUUAACUGUCAGACCACUACAGCUUGGACAGGGAAUCAUAAAAACAAACAAAAACAUCUCAUGAGGCUUUUGAGCAUUUGAAAUUCAUCUCUUUUUUAAAGUUAUUGUUUGGGUCUUUUUACCUUUAUAUAUAUAUAUAUAUAUAUAUAUAUAUAUAUAUAUGGCAUGCCGUUUAGGAAAUUAUAUAUAUAAUGAAAGUCGAUAUAUAUAUAAUGAAACUUGAUAUAUAUAUAAUGAAAGUCGAUAUAUAUAUAAUGAAACUUGAUAUAUAUAUAAUGAAAUUUGAUAUAUAUAUAAUGAAAGUCGAUAUAUAUAUAAUGAAACUUGAUAUAUAUAUAAUGAAAGUCGAUAUAUAUAUAAUGAAACUUGAUAUAUAUAUAAUGAAAGUCGAUAUAUAUAUAAUGAAACUUGAUAUAUAUAUAAUGAAAGUCGAUAUAUAUAUAAUGAAACUUGAUAUAUAUAUAUAAUGAAACUUGAUAUAUAUAUAAUGAAAGUCGAUAUAUAUAUAAUGAAACUUGAUAUAUAUAUAUAAUGAAAGUUGAUAUAUAUAUAAUGAAACUUGAUAUAUAUAUAAUGAAACUUGAUAUAUAUAUAUAAUGAAAGUCGAUAUAUAUAUAAUGAAAGUUGAUAUAUAUAUAUAAUGAAAGUUGAUAUAUAUAUAAUGAAAGUCGGAAUAUAGAAUGUUCAGAUUUUCAUUCCAUCUAUUCAAAGUUUCAUUCCAUAUAUUCAGACUUUUUCCUACUGAGCCCUGGAAGGACAUGGCAAACAAAAACAGGAACCUUAUUGGACAUUUGCUCUUCAGAUGAGCUCUUCUGUGAUUAUCUAUCUGUCUUCAUGGUUGUCACAGGGAACGGCGACUACGUUUGAGAAAACAGCUGGUCUUAAGGCUAAUUACGAGGCAGAGGUCAGCUGCUGCCUGGACACAUCCAUGAUCACGCCACUGGUGGGACACAAUUGCACUGGAUUUCAGCUGAAGGCUGCUGUUCUGUCCAAACUGAGACAUUUUUAUUGUGACAUACCCUCCACUGUUGUUAGCUUUUGAUUCAAUAAAUUUUUUUGAGAUGAGGAAAUCA
Acanthochromis polyacanthus (spiny chromis) is the source of this 2562-nucleotide long non-coding RNA. RefSeq lists it as uncharacterized. The record is from RefSeq and is a predicted model, not a curated record. The transcript is spliced from 3 exons. NCBI's taxonomy places the organism in Eukaryota, Metazoa, Chordata, Actinopteri, Pomacentridae.